CUGGGGGCCGCGCCUGUCAGGCCGCGUUCGUCAGUGGGCGGCCGGCGCUGAGGGGAGCCAGAGAUUUGCCUGGUUUUGUUCCUGAAGGACUGCUAUGAGUGGGAGGUCUCAAGUGACCAUGGUGGUUUAAAGAAAGAUCUUGUCACGUGACUCUGAAGUAGAGCAAGGGUUGCAGCAGACUUCAACUUUCAGUCCUACAUUGCUUGUUCAAGAAAGGUCUAGAGAAGAAAGUCCUAAAUAGCAUGGUGAAUUAAAAAAAAAAAAAAAAAAAAGAUAAUUGCAGGAGUAUCAUCACAGAAUGGCCUGGGUUGAAAAGGACCACAAAGAUCAUCCAGUUUCAACCCCCUGCUAUGUGCAGGGUCGCCAACCACCAGACCAGGCUGCCCAGAGCCACAUCCAGCCUGGCCUUGAAUGUCUCCAGGAAUGGGGCAUCCACAACCUCCUUGGGCAACCUGUUCCAGUGUGUCACCGCUCUUUGUGUGGAAAAACUUCUUCCUAAUAUCCAACCUAAACCUCCCCUGUCUCAGUUUAAAACCAUUCCCCCUUAUCCUAUCACUGUCCACCCUUGUAAACAGCCGCUCCCCUUCCUGUUUUUACUCUCCCUUCAAGUACUGGAAGGCCACAGUGAGGUCUCCCCAGAGCCUUCUCUUCUCCAAACUAAACAAGCCCAGUUCCCUUAACAUUUCCUCAUAGGAGAGGUGCUCCAGCCCUCUGAUCAUCUUAGUGGCCCUCCUCUGGGCCCGCUCCAAGAGUAGUAAGUCAAUAGCUGAAAAGUGAUGUGAAAAAGAAGGCAGCUAGAAGAAAUAAAGGAUUUCUUAAAACCACUCCCACCCAGCAAUGCUGUUUCUUGUAUCUUUAGUUUCAUCUGCUUCUCGAAGUCUAUCUUGCCAAAUAUGCCUACCUUUCAAAAUUACUCCAGCUUCGGAAUGAAAGUGUCAGCAGUUGCAAGACUCUUGAGGGUAUGAUUAUCUUAUUUCCUGUCUGUCUAUUACAUUUAAACAUCUGCCAAACUGGAAAGGUCAUUUUUCUACUAUGACUCUGGAGUACACUUAAUGAGACUCUUGUUACUGACUGACCUCUUGUACCUGGAGAGAUUAAACAUCUUGGACAAGUUUUCAUUGCUUGAAUCUGUGCCAAAUCCUUUUAAUGCGUGAAGGACUCGAUCACUUUUAAACCAGUGGUAUAGAGCAAACAAGCUUCGGUCUGAUGCCAGGGGGCUGCUUGAUUUUUGCAGUAACAAAACAGAAACUUAUAAGCACCUUGGGUACAGCAAAAGAAAAUAUAUCUGUGCUGAUCUUUGUCAACAGUCUCAUCAGAUUGCUAGGAACGUCCCUCCUACCAGGCUACUUUGCAGCUGUGAAUGAAAGCUCAUUAUCCGUGGCCAGUGCUUACCAUAAGAAGCAUAACCUUAGCUUUCAAAAUAAGGGACUUUUAAAGUAUUUAUGUUGUUAAAAUUGAAGUAAAUCAGAUCAUGUUGCUGUGUUGCUUUUAGCAACUUGCACCUACUCUACUUCCAUCGUACUUAGUGAGAUUUUUCAGCUACAUUUAAAGACUAAGUCUAGAAUGGAGCUCUGUUUAUGAAACACUGGCUAUUAAUGUUUCACAGCAUUUGGCAAUGCUGGUUUUUCUGAUUAUAUUCAACCUUGCUGAACAGGAAUGUUUGCAUCAUUUAAGAGCAAUUUUUUUUUUUUUUUUUGCACUGCCUGUAUUUUGUAUCUUCUCAAACAAAGAGAUGAUGACAGAUGAUGCCUCAAAGAUAAGUAACAUUCUACUAUAUGACCUCUGCCUACAAAAAGCACAGCUUCCCUGGAGAAGACGAUCCCUAUGCCUGAGACAACACUGCUUGUGAAUUCCUAUGCUGAGUGAAUUUCAAAGUUCUAGUUUCCCUACUUUGGGCAGCCACAUCACUCUUCUGUUUUCCUGCAGGAAACAUUGGACUGAGAUUCAUAGCCUUGUUCAUGCUUCCCCAUAUCUUACGUUUUUCCACUUAGAGAGUUUGGUGUCAGCAAAAUCAAAGAAAAUCUCUGAAUAAUUGGCAUUGAUAUAUUCUAUUUUUUUUUUUGUCACUAUGCUAUUUGCAAAAUGAUUGUCAAUGCAGUACAUGAUCUUUUGUCAAAAAACCCUGCAGUUAAAAGUUUCAUUUAUUACACACUGACUGAAGCUUAUACCUAUCUCAGCUGCAUUUAAUGCUACCUUUGUGUUGUUAAUUAAUCUGAAAAGAGUGAAGGCAAUCUCAUUUUUUCCAAAAGACUGUAAAUGGCCUCUUGUAACCGUUUAGCAGAGAAUGACCUCCUACAAGCUCCUUUUGCUGCAUCUGCACAAUGCUGCUGAGAGGGAACUGCUGGUUGCAAAGAGGAAAUACAGCAAAGCUGGACAGUUGUACUGCAGCCCAGAGAGAAGUGCUGUGUAAUGCCAGUAUAACUAGAAAGAUGAAGUCCUCUGCAAACCAACUGUUGAGUGUCAGCAGUUCAUGCUAGCAGAACUUCUGCCAGUAAAACUGCCUUCCUCUCAAACAAGGCCAGCAACAAAAGCACACAGAAAGAUACAGGUUUAUGGGAAUAUCUGUAGGGUGCUGGUGAGGAGGGCAACUGGGCUCUCUCCUUGACUCUUACACUGCUGUCCCUGUACAAACAGCUCCAAGGACGCCUGCCCACCAGGGUCCUGAUGCCAUGUGCCUGGCCACUGCUGGGCUUGUUUGAACCAGAAAGUUUUACUGGCAGAAGUUCUGCUGGCAUGUGCUGUAGCCAUUGCUGUGUUGGCAGGAUGCGCCACAUUUGGCUGUUUUUAAAGAUGCAAGAUGUCCUCAGAACAUCAGGCUUUUAUCAGCAGAGGAUGACAGCAUUAUGGAAUGCUAACCCAGAUUACCUUGUGCAAUGUUUGGUAGGUUGCCUUCUGGUAAUUACUUGCAGCAUAUUGUGGAGCUGCUGUUGUAUAUUGUGAGAUACCAUCAGUUCCAUCAUAAAAUCUGUGUAAAUAUUGGGUCAGAUUUUCAAAAAUUUUUCGAUCUUGUGCAAUUGCCUAUUUUUACAUGUGCUGUUUUCCCAUAUUGCAGAUUUCUCAUUGCCAGAACCCCAGAUUGUAUCAAACAGCAUCACUCUCUUGUUCAUUUAGGGCAGAUGUAAGCAUUCUUUCUUAUCUAAAGAGCAGCCUAAAGUAUUGGGUACUGGGGACAAGUGGAACAUAGAGACAGUGAAUAGAAGCUGUUUGCAGUAAGUGUUUGCUAAACUACUUUACAAGAACAACUUGUAGUUUUGAUCCAUACUGUGAGCACUGGAAGAGAGAAACAUUCAGUGUUGGAUGUUAAACCCAUGCCAACAUAUCCACUCUGAUUUAGGAGCUGCUUAAUGAGGAGACAGGAGAACUAGGUGGUGCCAACUUUUUGGAAAGCUGUGCUGAUGUGGGCAUUUUGGCAUUACUUGGGGAGCUAUCUCCAGUGAGGUACAUAAAGUUAAGUUUUUCCUGCUGCACACUCUUUUUAUGCUGGGUGACAUACUGAAAAUAAGAGAUGAACCUGAUGCAAUGGACUUUGCUAGCUGUGGGGGAACAGUAAAUAAGGUUUAUAUCCAAUUCUGUCCUAUCUUGUUUUGAAUACAUAAAAUGAAAGCAGUGCUUCUCCAUGGUGAUCUCUCUAGACAGUAUUUUACAUCAGUGUUGCUUGGGAGAAAGUCCAUGCUUGCCUCCCCAUCUAUCCUGUUGUUAUUAAUGAUGUUACAUAGCCAACUCUGGCAACAGAGACAAGGCAGGUUUGGCAAACUGUAGGUAAAAAAAACAAAACAUUGUAACAGGAAAAAAUAACAGAAUUAUCCACCAAGUCACAAAACUCUGUAAUUUUGUAGUCUCCUGCAACAAAGAAACAAACAAACAAAAAAACACAUAGGGUUUCACAGGGUUCCUUCAUUUGCUGAGUGUAAUUUUGUCCUUUCCAAAUUCAGUGCAAAGUCAGUUAUAGGGUUUUGGGUUUUCCCAUGAUGCUUCCAGGUAUUACAGACACGUGCAUUGCAUAAGUAGCCCUUGUAUACAUAGAAUAUAUAGAUGGCUGGAAGAUUCCUAGAGCUUAGAGACCACAGGUAUGUGUGGAACCUGCAGAUCUGCAUAGAAAGCCACACAUGUAACCAGAGUACCUGCACAAUGACCCUGACAUGGUAUGGACAUAUAGCACCUGUGGUUUGCAGGCAGGCAGCAUACAUUCAGUAAGUGCAGUGUGUUCUGGACACAUCCAUUUUAUCACACGUUCACAGAUACUCUGCUUAACACAUGCACAGAAGAUCUGGCAUGUCUGUGUAUGUGCUGGGCAGCACAUGGACUGAUAAUUCUGUGUUAGAUUUCAUGGCUAUAAUUCAGAAAGUCCAAGCUGAACUAUUUAUUGAAAACAUAUACUCAUUUGGAACUGCUGUUCCUAAAAAUCAUCUGAAGCAACUUGAGUUUGUUCCAAUGAUACUACAUUUUACUGGUUUAAAGUAAGUGUGUUCUGUAAAUGAUGAAAGUGCUCACUCAUUGAUUUGCAAAUGCCGUCUUUGUGAUCUGUGAAAGUCCUGGUUUUGACUUCUUGGACUUUCACCCGAUACUGACAUUUCAAUAUUCUUAAAAUACAUUUCCCCUUUCCUCCCACCAGCAGCUGAUAGAUACAAUGUGAUAGGAGAAUGUGUUAGGAGGAAAGGCAAGGAAUGCUUAUUUAUAAACUUUUGACAAAGUAAACCCCAUCACUAUGUUAAUGGACCAGCCAUAUCACAGUGAAUACCCUUCCUGAAUCAGCUACCUGUUUGGGGAGCUUCCUAAGGGGUUCUGUAUCUCAUUAGUUUUUACUCUAGCUAUGCCUUCUCCCCAGAAACCCAUUCAAUUUAUCCUUUUCUUAGUAUCCUUCACCAUGGACAUAUGUCAAUGAUGAGAGCAGUAUCCCAACUAUUAUGCCGUCUAAUGAAUGCACAAUCAUAGUGAGGAGUGCAUGACAAGCUGGUCAUAAAAGGAACACCUUGGGGGAGUAAGCUUAGGGAAUUUAUUGCAGGAAGAGAAACUGCCUUUUAUUCUUCU
Long non-coding RNA from Gallus gallus (chicken), 5028 nucleotides. Lineage: Eukaryota; Metazoa; Chordata; Aves; Galliformes; Phasianidae. The record is from Ensembl.